This 346-nucleotide long non-coding RNA is filed under the name Homo sapiens (human). Its description in RNAcentral is "HSALNT0180898". The record is from RNAcentral. Lineage: Eukaryota; Metazoa; Chordata; Mammalia; Primates; Hominidae.
UCUGUAAUAGAACCUAAUUGAGAUGUGUUGAGACUUGGGAGGAUUAAUCACAGGAGGAUGGAACUGAAUUAGGAGGAGGUGAGACUCGGAGAAUGAAAUGCAGCAGGGAUUUCGAGGAGAGGGAUUGGACUCAACACAGCAUUAUCUAGAAGGUUGGGUUAGCUGGAAUGAGACUCUGCUUUUGGCUUCAGGUAAACCGGCCUUGGCUGCAGGUUGCAGGUCUGGGCUCACAAAUACUCUGAAACAAAGGCACAGACACAUUUGUUCCACUUAGGCCAGCUACAACAGAAGGUUUCAUGAAAAAUCUGGUUAGAAUAAUCCCAAUCGUUGUUCCUCCUCUUUGCCU